This 448-nucleotide ribosomal RNA is filed under the name uncultured bacterium. RNAcentral's name for it is "bacterial SSU rRNA". It matches the Rfam family "Bacterial small subunit ribosomal RNA", at positions 355 to 825 of the family's 1533-position model. The record is from RNAcentral.
UGGGGAAUAUUGGACAAUGGGCGCAAGCCUGAUCCAGCCAUGCCGCGUGAGUGACGAAGGCCUUAGGGUUGUAAAGCUCUUUUUGGCGGGGAAGAUAAUGACGGUACCCGCAGAAUAAGCUCCGGCUAACUUCGUGCCAGCAGCCGCGGUAAUACGAAGGGAGCUAGCGUUGUUCGGAAUCACUGGGCGUAAAGCGCACGUAGGCGGAUAGUUAAGUCAGGGGUGAAAUCCUGGGGCUCAACCCCAGAACUGCCUUUGAUACUGGCUGUCUCGAGGUCGAGAGAGGGUGGUGGAAUUCCUGGUGUAGAGGUGAAAUUCGUAGAUAUCAGGAAGAACAUCAGUGGCGAAGGCGACCACCUGGACGAUGACUGACGCUGAGGCGCGAAAGCGUGGGUAGCAAACAGGAUUAGAUACCCGUGUAGUCCCUGAGCGGGCUGGCAAGGCGCAU